This 105-nucleotide ribosomal RNA is filed under the name Danio rerio (zebrafish). The record is from RNAcentral. Lineage: Eukaryota; Metazoa; Chordata; Actinopteri; Cypriniformes; Danionidae.
GCCGGUAGCUAGCUUGCCCUAGGUUGCUCAUGUGAGCUAAGCAGGGUUGUGCCUGGUCAGUACCUGGAUGUGAGACCACAUGGGAAAGCUAGGUUGCUGCUGGAA